Sinocyclocheilus anshuiensis is the source of this 124-nucleotide long non-coding RNA. RefSeq lists it as uncharacterized. The record is from RefSeq and is a predicted model, not a curated record. NCBI's taxonomy places the organism in Eukaryota, Metazoa, Chordata, Actinopteri, Cypriniformes, Cyprinidae. The transcript has 3 exons.
CUCUCUCAGACCAGGAGGAAGUUUUAAAUGUCUGAUGGAUCAGCUGUAUUUUAUCAUAGAACACUGUCCGUAUAUCUGUGUAUUUGGGGCAUUCUGUUAGGAAGUGCAGUUCUGUUUCCAUCUG